CGCAUCUGUGCAUGCAGCAUAUCAAUAAGCGGAGGAAAAGAAACUAACAAGGAUUCCCCUAGUAACGGCGAGUGAAGCGGGAAGAGCUCAAAUUUGAAAUCUUAAAGGGUUUCCCUUUACGAAUUGUAGUUUAAAGAAGUGGUUUCUGUUGAGGUUUUGGUAAAAGUUCUUUGGAAUAGGACAUCAUAGAGGGUGAGAAUCCCGUAUUUGACCUUUACUUUCAACUUUGUGAUACACUUUCAAAGAGUCGGAUUGUUUGGGAAUGCAGUCCAAAAUGGGUGGUAAAUUUCAUCUAAAGCUAAAUAUUGGCGAGAGACCGAUAGCGAACAAGUACCGUGAGGGAAAGAUGAAAAGAACUUUGAAAAGAGAGUUAAACAGUACGUGAAAUUGUCAAAAGGGAAGCGUUUGACACCAGUGUUGUUUUUCUGAAAAUCAAUUAAAGAACUGUUUAUGCUAAGCUGUUUAGACUUUAUCAGCUAUCUGUUUAGUUUUGAGCUUUUCUUUAAUGCACUUUUCAGUUAACAAGUCAACAUCAAUUUCUUUUGCUGUAAAAAAGCUUGAGGAAGGUGGCUUGAGAUUCGUCUUAAGUGUUUAUAGCCUCUUGCCUAUGCAGUCGGAGAGAUUGAGGUCUGCAGCGUAGAUCCUUCGGGGCUAAAUGCAUUUGUGCUAAGUUAUAGCAUUUUAUAGACAACUUGUUGACUAUGAUUUGUCUUGUAGCUUACUCGCUUAUGUUAUUUUACCUACGCUUAGGAUGUUGAAUCUGUGCGAGACUAC
This 774-nucleotide ribosomal RNA is filed under the name uncultured Neocallimastigales. Its description in RNAcentral is "partial large subunit ribosomal RNA". It matches the Rfam family "Eukaryotic large subunit ribosomal RNA", at positions 26 to 644 of the family's 3401-position model. The record is from RNAcentral. Lineage: Eukaryota; Fungi; Neocallimastigomycota; Neocallimastigomycetes; Neocallimastigales.